AAACAUCCACAUAAGUCAAAACCUUGUAACGCCCAACUGACUCAAUAGUUUUGAGUUGGUAUAAGUCUAAUCUCUUAUAUAGGGAUCCUAAAUACAGUGGAGCAAGAGGAAAGCGUAUUCCCUUAACAAUUUUUAUUGCUAAAGGAACAACUGCUGAGGAGAUACCAUCAUCUGGACACCCUGGGAGUACGUGUCAUGCCAACCCAAAAAUUAUUAAAGCUACUAGCUCAUACUUAUGGUCUGGGUACUCA
Molecule: long non-coding RNA, 251 nt
Filed under: Theobroma cacao (cacao)
Lineage: Eukaryota; Viridiplantae; Streptophyta; Magnoliopsida; Malvales; Malvaceae
Description: long non-coding RNA (TCAC_LNC006177)
Source: RNAcentral